Asparagus officinalis (garden asparagus) is the source of this 793-nucleotide long non-coding RNA. RefSeq lists it as uncharacterized. Lineage: Eukaryota; Viridiplantae; Streptophyta; Magnoliopsida; Asparagales; Asparagaceae. The transcript is spliced from 5 exons. The record is from RefSeq and is a predicted model, not a curated record.
AUUUAUCUGGCCAUUUAAAAGCAACAAAGUCUCUCUCUCUCUGUCUUCCCAAAACCUCAAACUCACUCCCAAAACUCAACCAAACCCUAGACCCUAAAACCCUAAUAAUGGCGUCGGACACCAGCAAACCAUUCUUCCCCGUCGAAUCCCCUCACCAGCUCUCCGGCCUCCGCUGCCCUCCCCUCUCAAAACCCGCGUCGUCGUCUUCGUCGGCCAUAGCUAAAUUUAUUCCUCACCUAGAUAUCCUUUUCAUUUAUUUAUUCACUUUCUUCUCGCCUGCGCUCAAUUUAUCGUGAAUUUUACUUUUCUUUUUACGAUUUUUAAUCUCUAUGGGAGACGAAGAAGUGAGAUCGGAGGAGUCCGUUAAUGGCGGUACGGAUGUCCUGAGCUCUUCAGACGAUUCUGCCUCGUGUGCUGGUCAUCUCGUUGUGAUGGCCCAUGGAAUCCUUGGAAGUACUGCAGACUGGCAAUAUGGAGCUAACCAAUUUAUUAAAGCUCUUCCUGACAAAGUGAUAGUCCAUUAUUGCCAAAUCAAUGAUCAAGACUGGGAAAGUGCUAUCUAGAAGCCCAGCAAUCACAACGGAUAAGGAGCCAAAGGAGGAAACCAGAAUACUUAAGAUUUAUAUCUUGGGAGCUCAGUCAAGGCAUCCAAAGCAUACGAGAAAGUUCAUUACAGUAUGCAAAUGACAAUGCCUUGCAGCUUGCCAAGAUUCAACUGGAGACAAUGGUGAUAUAAAGGAAUUUGUAUAAAGAUAAGUGUGAACGUUUCUGAAAAUAUAAGAUCUAUAUGCUC